This 210-nucleotide ribosomal RNA is filed under the name uncultured Leptolinea sp. RNAcentral describes it as "partial 16S ribosomal RNA". It matches the Rfam family "Bacterial small subunit ribosomal RNA", at positions 1173 to 1382 of the family's 1533-position model. Lineage: Bacteria; Bacillati; Chloroflexota; Anaerolineae; Anaerolineales; Anaerolineaceae. The record is from RNAcentral.
GGGGGAGUGAUGUCAAGUCAGCAUGGCCUUUAUAUCCUGGGCUACACACACGCUACAAUGGCCAACACAAUAGGUUGCUAAGCCGCGAGGUGGCGCCAAUCCAUAAAGUUGGUCUCAGUUCAGAUUGUAGGCUGCAACCCGCCUGCAUGAAGAUGGAGUUGCUAGUAACCGCAGGUCAGCUAUACUGCGGUGAAUACGUUCCCGGGGCUU